AUUUAAAUACAAUCCUUGUUAAGGUUCAAC
This is a non-coding RNA of Clostridium kluyveri DSM 555, 30 nucleotides long. Lineage: Bacteria; Bacillati; Bacillota; Clostridia; Eubacteriales; Clostridiaceae. The record is from Rfam.